GGGUGGAGUGAACCUCCCCAUGUAGCACAGUGAGGGAAGACAUCUCUAAGGAGGUGACAUUGAAACUGAGACCUAAAAAGUAGAGGAGUAGCUAGCCAUGUGAAAGGCAUGUUCAGAACCCCGAGGAAAGAUCUAGUUUGGGGGCAGAAAGGAGAGCAAGUGGGGCCUCCCAGUAAUGAGCCAAGGGUAGGAGGUCAUGGGCCGCAGGUGAGAAAUAGGUACAGGCCAGACCAUAGAUUUACAAGUCACAGUUAAAAAGUUCGGAUUUCAUUCCAAGUUUCUUGCGUGAAAUAUUGUAACAAGGCUGGAACAGACCUUUGGGACUCAUUCCACCUGUCAGGAACUUUUUGGAGCACUGGCCUGAGAGAGUGAGUGAAGCUGUCAGAAGUACCUAAGACCAAAUCUAUGAUUUCUUUCCACUGGGGGAAUCUGGGCAGCACCGAUUUGCACUUCACAUGUCUCUUCAUAAUUAUAAAAAAGAUGGAUGGAAAGCAUAUGUGAGCAACAAUUAAAUACACUAGAAGAAGAAAAUUGCAGAUAAAGUUUGUAAAUGUUCAGAGAGAAAAAAAAUUAC
Choloepus didactylus (southern two-toed sloth) is the source of this 574-nucleotide long non-coding RNA. RefSeq lists it as uncharacterized. The record is from RefSeq and is a predicted model, not a curated record. NCBI's taxonomy places the organism in Eukaryota, Metazoa, Chordata, Mammalia, Pilosa, Megalonychidae. The transcript has 4 exons.